Molecule: ribosomal RNA, 1306 nt
Filed under: uncultured bacterium
Lineage: Bacteria
Description: bacterial SSU rRNA
Rfam family: Bacterial small subunit ribosomal RNA
Source: RNAcentral
AACGUACGCUGGCGGCACGCCUAACACAUGCAAGUCGAACGAAGUAGCAAUACUUAGUGGCAGACGGGUGAGUAACAUGUAGGUAUCUGCCCUUUGGCCUGGAAUAACACGAGGAAACUUGUGCUAAUACCGGAUAAGUCUUUACGGAGAAAGCUUUAUGCACCAUUGGAUGAGCCUGCACUUGAUUAGUUUGUUGGUGGGGUAAUGGCCUACCAAGACUGUGAUCAAUAGCUGAUUUGAGAGGAUGAUCAGCCACAUUGGGACUGAGACACGGCCCAAACUCCUACGGGAGGCAGCAGUGGGGAAUCUUGCACAAUGGAGGAAACUCUGAUGCAGCGAUGCCGCGUGAGUGAAGAAGGCCCUUGGGUUGUAAAGCUCUUUCGUCGGGGAAGAAAAUGACUGUACCCGAAUAAGAAGGUCCGGGCUACUUCGUGCCAGCAGCCGCGGUAAUACGAAGGGACCUAGCGUAGUUCGGAAUUACUGGGCUUAAAGAGUUCGUAGGUGGUUGAAAAAGUUAGUGGUGAAAUCCCAGAGCUUAACUCUGGAACUGCCAUUAAAACUUUUCAGCUAGAGUAUGAUAGAGGAAAGCAGAAUUUCUAGUGUAGAGGUGAAAUUCGUAGAUAUUAGAAAGAAUACCAAUUGCGAAGGCAGCUUUCUGGAUCAUUACUGACACUGAGGAACGAAAGCAUGGGUAGCGAAGAGGAUUAGAUACCCUCGUAGUCCAUGCCGUAAACGAUGUGUGUUAGACGUUGGAAAUUUAUUUUCAGUGUCGCAGGGAAACCGAUAAACACACCGCCUGGGGAGUACGACCGCAAGGUUAAAACUCAAAUGAAUUGACGGGGACCCGCACAAGUAGUGGAGCAUGUGGUUUAAUUCGAAGAUACGCGCAGAACCUUACCAACACUUGACAUGUUCGUCGCGACUCUAAGAGAUUAGAGUUUUCGGUUCGGCCGGACGAAACACAGGUGCUGCAUGGCUGUCGUCAGCUCGUGUCGUGAGAUGUUGGGUUAAGUCCCGCAACGAGCGCAACCCUCACUUUUAGUUGCCAUCAUUAAGUUGGGCACUCUGAAAGAACUGCCAGUGAUAAGCUGGAGGAAGGUGGGGAUGACGUCAAGUCCUCAUGGCCCUUACGUGUUGGGCUACACACGUGCUACAAUGGUAUCUACAACAGGAAGCAAGACUGCGAAGUUAAGCAAAUCCCUAAAAGAUACCUCAGUUCGGAUUGCACUCUGCAACUCGAGUGCAUGAAGCUGGAAUUACUAGUAAUCGUGGAUCAGCGUGCCACGGUGAAUGCGUUCCCGGGUCU